GAGAUGUAGCUUAUUAUUAAAGCUAAUUAUUUACAUUAAUUUGAAAAUAUUU
RNAcentral lists this transfer RNA (52 nucleotides) under Empoasca flavescens. RNAcentral's name for it is "tRNA-Val". Lineage: Eukaryota; Metazoa; Arthropoda; Insecta; Hemiptera; Cicadellidae. The record is from RNAcentral.